AGAGUUUGAUCCUGGCUCAGAUUGAACGCUGGCGGCAGGCCUAACACAUGCAAGUCGAACGGUAGCACAGAGAGCUUGCUCUCGGGUGACGAGUGGCGGACGGGUGAGUAAUGUCUGGGAAACUGCCUGAUGGAGGGGGAUAACUACUGGAAACGGUAGCUAAUACCGCAUAACGUCGCAAGACCAAAGAGGGGGACCUUCGGGCCUCUUGCCAUCAGAUGUGCCCAGAUGGGAUUAGCUAGUAGGUGGGGUAACGGCUCACCUAGGCGACGAUCCCUAGCUGGUCUGAGAGGAUGACCAGCCACACUGGAACUGAGACACGGUCCAGACUCCUACGGGAGGCAGCAGUGGGGAAUAUUGCACAAUGGGCGCAAGCCUGAUGCAGCCAUGCCGCGUGUAUGAAGAAGGCCUUCGGGUUGUAAAGUACUUUCAGCGGGGAGGAAGGCGAU
RNAcentral lists this ribosomal RNA (449 nucleotides) under Enterobacter cancerogenus. Its description in RNAcentral is "bacterial SSU rRNA". It matches the Rfam family "Bacterial small subunit ribosomal RNA", at positions 8 to 455 of the family's 1533-position model. The record is from RNAcentral. Lineage: Bacteria; Pseudomonadati; Pseudomonadota; Gammaproteobacteria; Enterobacterales; Enterobacteriaceae.